RNAcentral lists this ribosomal RNA (253 nucleotides) under uncultured bacterium. Its description in RNAcentral is "partial 16S ribosomal RNA". It matches the Rfam family "Bacterial small subunit ribosomal RNA", at positions 524 to 776 of the family's 1533-position model. The record is from RNAcentral.
UACGGGGGGGGCAAGCGUUGUUCGGAAUUACUGGGCGUAAAGGGCUCGUAGGUGGCCAACUAAGUCAGACGUGAAAUCCCUCGGCUUAACCGGGGAACUGCGUCUGAUACUGGAUGGCUUGAGUUUGGGAGAGGGACGCGGAAUUCCAGGUGUAGCGGUGAAAUGCGUAGAUAUCUGGAGGAACACCGGUGGCGAAGGCGGCGUCCUGGACCAACACUGACACUGAGGUGCGAAAGCUAGGGUAGCAAACGGG